GACGAACGCUGGCGGCGUGCCUAAUACAUGCAAGUCGAACGCAGUGGGGACGGGUGAGGAACACGUGGGUAACCUCCCAUCAGAGGGGAGAACACUUGGAAACAGGUGCUAAACCGAUAUUGACGGAUGGACCCGCGGUGCAUUCGCUAGUUGGUGAGGUAACGGCUCAGCAAGGCCACGAUGCCUAGCUGGUCUGAGAGGGUGAUCGGCCACACUGGGACUGAGACACGGCCCAGACUCCUACGGGAGGCAGCAGUGGGGAAUCUUGGGCAAUGGGCGAAAGCCUGAUCGAGCAAUGCCGCGUGAGUGAAGAAGGUCUUCGGAUCGUAAAACACUGUUGUUAGAGAAGCGUUAUCUGACCAGAAAGCAACGGCUAACUACGUGCCAGCAGCCGCGGUAAUAC
This 403-nucleotide ribosomal RNA is filed under the name uncultured bacterium. RNAcentral describes it as "partial 16S ribosomal RNA". It matches the Rfam family "Bacterial small subunit ribosomal RNA", at positions 28 to 526 of the family's 1533-position model. The record is from RNAcentral.